AUACUUAUCUGGCAUGGGGAAUACUACAGUCAAGAAGAUGGCUUUCCCCAGGGUGAGCCACUUCCAUUGCUUCCUUUAUUUGGAUUUAUCUGUGUGAUUUCCUCAAACCUGGGAAACUCAAAUGCAUAAUUUAUGGUUUUAAGCAAACAAGCAGAUUUUUUUUUUUA
Molecule: small nuclear RNA, 167 nt
Organism: Protopterus annectens (West African lungfish)
Lineage: Eukaryota; Metazoa; Chordata; Ceratodontiformes; Protopteridae
Product: U1 spliceosomal RNA
Exons: 1
Source: RefSeq, a predicted model, not a curated record